CAGCAGCCGCGGUAAUACGGAAGGUCCAGGCGUUAUCCGGAUUUAUUGGGUUUAAAGGGAGCGCAGGCCGUGGAUUAAGCGUGUUGUGAAAUGUAGACGCUCAACGUCUGAAUUGCAGCGCGAACUGGUUCACUUGAGUAUGCACAACGUAGGCGGAAUUCGUCGUGUAGCGGUGAAAUGCUUAGAUAUGACGAAGAACUCCGAUUGCGAAGGCAGCUUACGGGAGCACAACUGACGCUGAAGCUCGAAGGUGCGGGUAUCAAACAGGAUUAGAUACCCUGGUAGUCCGCACAGUAAACGAUGGAUGCCCGUUGUUAGUUCACUUAAGAAUUAGCGACCAAGCGAAAGCAUUAAGCAUCCCACCUGGGGAGUACGCCGGCAACGGUGAAACUCAAAGGAAUUGACGGGGGCCCGCACAAGCGGAGGAACAUGUGGUUUAAUUCGAUGAUACGCGAGGAACCUUACCCGGGCUUGAAUUGCAGACGAACGAUUCAGAGAUGAUGAGGCCCUUCGGGGCGUCUGUGAAGGUGCUGCAUGGUUGUCGUCAGCUCGUGCCGUGAGGUGUCGGCUUAAGUGCCAUAACGAGCGCAACCCCUUUUUUCAGUUGCCAUCAGGUGAUGCUGGGCACUCUGGAGAUACUGCCACCGUAAGGUGUGAGGAAGGUGGGGAUGACGUCAAAUCAGCACGGCCCUUACGUCCGGGGCUACACACGUGUUACAAUGGCCGGUACAGAGAGUUGGUUGUGUGCAAAUACGAUCUAAUCCUUAAAGCCGGUCCCAGUUCGGACUGGGGUCUGCAACCCGACCCCACGAAGCUGGAUUCGCUAGUAAUCGCGCAUCAGCCAUGGCGCGGUGAAUACGUUCCCGGGCCUUGUACACACCGCCCGUCAAGCCAUGAAAGCCGGGGGUGCCUGAAGUCUGUGACCGCAAGGAACGGCCUAGGGCAAAACUGGUGAUUGGGGCUAAGUCGUAACAAGGUAGCCGU
This 984-nucleotide ribosomal RNA is filed under the name uncultured Prevotella sp. RNAcentral's name for it is "bacterial SSU rRNA". It matches the Rfam family "Bacterial small subunit ribosomal RNA", at positions 509 to 1503 of the family's 1533-position model. The record is from RNAcentral. Lineage: Bacteria; Pseudomonadati; Bacteroidota; Bacteroidia; Bacteroidales; Prevotellaceae.